Molecule: ribosomal RNA, 468 nt
Filed under: uncultured bacterium
Lineage: Bacteria
Description: partial 16S ribosomal RNA
Rfam family: Bacterial small subunit ribosomal RNA
Source: RNAcentral
GACGAACGCUGGCGGCGUGCUUAACACAUGCCAGUCGAACGGAAAGGCCCUGCUUUUGUGGGGUGCUCGAGUGGCGAACGGGUGAGUAACACGUGAGUAACCUGCCCUUGACUUUGGGAUAACUUCAGGAAACUGGGGCUAAUACCGGAUAGGAGCUCCUGCUGCAUGGUGGGGGUUGGAAAGUUUCGGCGGUUGGGGAUGGACUCGCGGCUUAUCAGCUUGUUGGUGGGGUAGUGGCUUACCAAGGCUUUGACGGGUAGCCGGCCUGAGAGGGUGACCGGCCACAUUGGGACUGAGAUACGGCCCAGACUCCUACGGGAGGCAGCAGUGGGGAAGAUUGCACAAUGGGCGGAAGCCUGAUGCAGCAACGCCGCGUGCGGGAUGACGGCCUUCGGGUUGUAAACCGCUUUCGCCUGUGACGAAGCGUGAGUGACGGUAAUGGGUAAAGAAGCACCGGCUAACUACGUG